This is a non-coding RNA of Saimiri boliviensis boliviensis (Bolivian squirrel monkey), 379 nucleotides long. The record is from RefSeq and is a predicted model, not a curated record. Lineage: Eukaryota; Metazoa; Chordata; Mammalia; Primates; Cebidae.
CACACACACACACACACACACACACAAAUCAUAUGUAUAAGAAGGAAAGCAGUCCUGUAGAAUUGAAGUGUUUGAAAAAAAUCUAUGAGCUCAGUGUUUUGGAGGAAAUCCCUUGAAUAGCACUGGAAAGAAGGCAGCUCAUUUUGGACUUUGAAUGGUAGGAUUGUAUCUACUGUUCAGUUUUUGAAAUACAGUUGUGCCACUUGCACUGACCCUUCACACUGGGGUUCAGCUGCCACACUUCACUUUGGGUAUGAUGAUGACAGAGGCUGAAAAAUCCAUCAAUGUAUUUCCCCAUGGUUGCCUUCCACCAAAUGAUACUAAUACUCCUGAAAAUACUUAACAUUUACAAAAUGUUUAUUUUCUGAUUCAUGCCAAA